This is a long non-coding RNA of Oreochromis niloticus (Nile tilapia), 1578 nucleotides long. RefSeq lists it as uncharacterized. The transcript is spliced from 3 exons. NCBI's taxonomy places the organism in Eukaryota, Metazoa, Chordata, Actinopteri, Cichliformes, Cichlidae. The record is from RefSeq and is a predicted model, not a curated record.
AUAUAGUGUAACAAAGUGUGGGUCUAUGUGGUACUUUGCAGUAAAAUGUGUUUUCUUCUGGUGUUAAUGAUGAAUCACCAGAAACAACAGGUGGGUGUUUGUCUGAGACAGAUGAAGCAACCACAGGGCUUCUGAGACAUGUUGGCAGUUUCUAAGAAAUCUUUUCAUGAUCUUCUUCUUUUAACACACAUCCUGAAUACUGACAGCACUUUUAUAAGCUUCACUCUGCACUGAUGACCUCUGUAUGUGUUUUAUUGUGCAGGCUGUGAUCCAGCUACGGUCUAUUUAUCAGUGAGAGCAGACAACAUCAGUUGUCGACCAACAGACAUCAGACCAAACAGGCCCAGAGAGUGCGAUCCAGCUACAAUCUACUCAUCAGUGAGAAGAGACAAGCUCACUCAUGGACAAAGAGACAUCAGACCAAACAGGCACAGAGAGUUUCCAUCUGACCAAAAUGGCAUCUACCCAUGAAGUAAUCCACCAGUCCAACCACUGGAAUCCAGCUGCUGGUCCACACAGGCGCUCAGACUAGAUUUUUAUAUAUUCUGUUUGAUCUUCUCAUUAAACAUAUUCAUAUAACACAUAUUAUAACUAAUAUUUGAAUGUAAUGUAAUGCAGUGUAUGGAAAACAAUCAGUAACUUGCAGGACGGUGCUGCCCUCCCCACAGCAAUGAUCUCUGCAGAUCUCUGUAAGAAACUUUGGUCUCACUUGUUCUUCUUGUGUGGUUCUCUGGGUUUCACAAAUAUCACUGAAGAAAAAUGUGAGUCGUUGUGGCUGAUUAAGAUCUGAAUAAAACCAUAACCACAGAUUAAAAGCAGCAUGAGCAUCACUGGAAACUUUUAAAACUUAAAGAGUUUUAAGAGAUAAAGAGAAAAAUCUCAGUUCAUAUGGUCCAGCCGAGCUUUAAAAGAAAUGACUGUGUGUUUAUCAAUGUAAAAUCUGCAGUGUUUAUGUGUUUAUGUACAGGGGAGCAGGAGCAGUAUCACUAAGUUACUGUAAAAGUAUCUUUAAGUCAAUCACAAUGAUGAUAAUAAUAUUAAUAAUAACUUUAUUUAUAAAGCGCUUUCAAGCAAAGUGCUGUACAGCUAUUUGGUAAUAAAAACAUAAAUAAAUAAAAGUGAUACAUAGCAAUACAAGUUAAAAACACAAUACAAGUUAAAAACAAUAAGAAUUUAAAAACUAAAUGGCAUAGAAUUAAGACAUGUAGGGUAGGGUGAACAAGCGGGUCUUCAACUUAGCUUUAAAAACCUUCACAGAGCAUGCAUGCCUAAUAUCUUGAGGGAUGUUGUUCCACAAAAGUGGGGCAUGAAAAGAAAAAGCACACUCUCCAAUGGUCUUUUUUCUGAUUUUAGAAACACUGUGUUGAAUAAAAGUUUUGAGUUAUGCUUAUGAUGAGAUUUGAGAAAUAAUUUGUUUUGUCUGUUGGGGCCACCGUAGGGUCCAGCAAAUCAGAUUAAAUAUGUACACACACUCAUGUUUAUGUCAGUGUAUCAUCAAAAGUACAAAAUAUAAACCUGGAUGUUUAGGAAGAGGGAGACGUUUUAGGAGCGACAGCGAGAGAGAGAGAGAGCUGUUCU